RNAcentral lists this ribosomal RNA (497 nucleotides) under uncultured bacterium. RNAcentral describes it as "partial 16S ribosomal RNA". It matches the Rfam family "Bacterial small subunit ribosomal RNA", at positions 28 to 507 of the family's 1533-position model. The record is from RNAcentral.
GAUGAACGCUGGCGGCGUGCCUAAUACAUGCCAGUCGAGCGAACAGACGAGGAGCUUGCUCCUCUGACGUUAGCGGCGGACGGGUGAGUAACACGUGGAUAACCUACCUAUAAGACUGGGAUAACUUCGGGAAACCGGAGCUAAUACCGGAUAAUAUAUUGAACCGCAUGGUUCAAUAGUGAAAGACGGUUUUGCUGUCACUUAUAGAUGGAUCCGCGCCGCAUUAGCUAGUUGGUAAGGUAACGGCUUACCAAGGCAACGAUGCGUAGCCGACCUGAGAGGGUGAUCAGCCACACUGGAACUGAGACACGGUCCAGACUCCUACGGGAGGCAGCAGUAGGGAAUAUUCCGCAAUGGGCGAAAGCCUGACGGAGCAACGCCGCGUGAGUGAUGAAGGUCUUCGGAUCGUAAAACUCUGUUAUUAGGGAAGAACAAAUGUGUAAGUAACUAUGCACGUCUUGACGGUACCUAAUCAGAAAGCCACGGCUAACUACGUG